AGCGAACGCUGGCGGCAUGCCUUACACAUGCAAGUCGAACGGCAGCGCGGACUUCGGUCUGGCGGCGAGUGGCGAACGGGUGAGUAAUACAUCGGAACGUACCCUGUUGUGGGGGAUAACUAGUCGAAAGAUUAGCUAAUACCGCAUACGACCUGAGGGUGAAAGUGGGGGACCGCAAGGCCUCACGCAGCAGGAGCGGCCGAUGUCUGAUUAGCUAGUUGGUGGGGUAAAGGCCCACCAAGGCGACGAUCAGUAGCUGGUCUGAGAGGACGAUCGGCCACACUGGGACUGAGACACGGACCAGACUCCUACGGGAGGCAGCAGUGGGGAAUUUUGGACAAUGGGGGCAACCCUGAGCCAGCAAUGCCGCGUGUGUGAAGAAGGCCAUCGGGUUGUAAAGCACUUUUGUCCGGAAAGAAAUCGCGCUGGUUAAUACCUGGCGUGGAUGACGGUACCGGAAGAAUAAGCACCGGCUAACUACGUGCCAGCCGCCGCCGUAA
Molecule: ribosomal RNA, 500 nt
Filed under: uncultured bacterium
Lineage: Bacteria
Description: partial 16S ribosomal RNA
Rfam family: Bacterial small subunit ribosomal RNA
Source: RNAcentral